UACGUAGGGUGCAAGCGUUGUCCGGAAUUAUUGGGCGUAAAGAGCUCGUAGGCGGUCUGUCGCGUCGGCUGUGAAAACUCGGGGCUCAACCCCGAGCCUGCAGUCGAUACGGGCAGACUAGAGUGCUGUAGGGGAGACUGGAAUUCCUGGUGUAGCGGUGAAAUGCGCAGAUAUCAGGAGGAACACCGGUGGCGAAGGCGGGUCUCUGGGCAGUAACUGACGCUGAGGAACGAAAGCGUGGGUAGCAAACAGG
This 253-nucleotide ribosomal RNA is filed under the name uncultured bacterium. RNAcentral describes it as "partial 16S ribosomal RNA". It matches the Rfam family "Bacterial small subunit ribosomal RNA", at positions 524 to 776 of the family's 1533-position model. The record is from RNAcentral.